Molecule: ribosomal RNA, 678 nt
Filed under: Comamonas sp. C106
Lineage: Bacteria; Pseudomonadati; Pseudomonadota; Betaproteobacteria; Burkholderiales; Comamonadaceae
Description: bacterial SSU rRNA
Rfam family: Bacterial small subunit ribosomal RNA
Source: RNAcentral
CGGCAUGCCUUACACAUGCAAGUCGAACGGUAACAGGUCUUCGGAUGCUGACGAGUGGCGAACGGGUGAGUAAUACAUCGGAACGUGCCUAGUAGUGGGGGAUAACUACUCGAAAGAGUGGCUAAUACCGCAUGAGAUCUACGGAUGAAAGCAGGGGAUCGCAAGACCUUGUGCUACUAGAGCGGCCGAUGGCAGAUUAGGUAGUUGGUGGGAUAAAAGCUUACCAAGCCGACGAUCUGUAGCUGGUCUGAGAGGACGAUCAGCCACACUGGGACUGAGACACGGCCCAGACUCCUACGGGAGGCAGCAGUGGGGAAUUUUGGACAAUGGGCGCAAGCCUGAUCCAGCAAUGCCGCGUGCAGGAUGAAGGCCUUCGGGUUGUAAACUGCUUUUGUACGGAACGAAAAGCCCUGGGUUAAUACCCUGGGGUCAUGACGGUACCGUAAGAAUAAGCACCGGCUAACUACGUGCCAGCAGCCGCGGUAAUACGUAGGGUGCGAGCGUUAAUCGGAAUUACUGGGCGUAAAGCGUGCGCAGGCGGUUUUGUAAGACAGAGGUGAAAUCCCCGGCUCAACCUGGGAACUGCUUUGUGACUGCAAGGCUAGAGACGGCAGAGGGGGAUGGAAUUCCGCGUGUAGCAGUGAAAUGCGUACAUAUGCGGAGGACACCGAUGGCGAA